Molecule: ribosomal RNA, 253 nt
Filed under: uncultured bacterium
Lineage: Bacteria
Description: partial 16S ribosomal RNA
Rfam family: Bacterial small subunit ribosomal RNA
Source: RNAcentral
UACGUAGGAGGCGAGCGUUGUCCGGAAUUACUGGGCGUAAAGCGCGCGUAGGCGGUUUUUCGCGUAGGCGGUAAAAGCCCCCGGCUUACCCGGGGGAGGUCCGUCUAAACGGGGAGACUGGAGGGCGGUAGGGGCUGGCGGAACGCCCGGAGUAGCGGUGAAAUGCGUUGAGAUCGGGCAGAACACCAGUGGCGAAGGCGGCCGGCUGGGCCGACCCUGACGCUGAGGCGCGAAAGCCAGGGGAGCGAACGGA